Molecule: non-coding RNA, 405 nt
Organism: Paramormyrops kingsleyae
Lineage: Eukaryota; Metazoa; Chordata; Actinopteri; Osteoglossiformes; Mormyridae
Source: RefSeq, a predicted model, not a curated record
CGCAACUUUUGAACUGGAAGGAUGCAUGUCGAGUUUGCUCCGUUGCGGGAUAAUGGCUGCCUUGACCCCGCUGUUUGUGCGGCGUCGUAGGAACCCAGAGCGGCUAUUGUUGGAUCUUCGCGUUUGGUAAUGAAGUAGAUGGGCCUACACUUCUGCAGAUGUCUGAAAGAAUGGGUGAAUGAGUGAAUUUUUCUAAAAAUAAAAGACCAGGUGAAGUUCCUGUCUGCUUCAGCUAAAAGUUGAAAGCCAAGCCCCUGUGAGUCAAAUAACCCCAGCAGCCCAACCUAUGAUGAACUGCAAAGUCUGGUUUCCUCCAGCAGUCUUCACUGCAUUGACCAAUAAAGAUGCAGUUCUGAAGUCGCAUACAGAGUAAAAAACAUGCUUAUUCAAGCUCUGUUUGAUCAU